GUGGGUAUAGCUCAGUGGUAGAGCACAUGGUUAGCAUGCGCAAGGUCCUGGGUUCAAUCCCCAGUGCUGCCA
Molecule: transfer RNA, 72 nt
Filed under: Camelus dromedarius (Arabian camel)
Lineage: Eukaryota; Metazoa; Chordata; Mammalia; Artiodactyla; Camelidae
Also listed under: 1 other name
Rfam family: tRNA
About the family: Transfer RNA (tRNA) molecules are approximately 80 nucleotides in length. Their secondary structure includes four short double-helical elements and three loops (D, anti-codon, and T loops).
Source: Rfam by way of RNAcentral